Ictalurus punctatus (channel catfish) is the source of this 1259-nucleotide long non-coding RNA. NCBI's taxonomy places the organism in Eukaryota, Metazoa, Chordata, Actinopteri, Siluriformes, Ictaluridae. The record is from Ensembl.
GUUCAACCUUCACGCCGAAAACGCCGAUCGAUAUAUCGAUCUGGGACGACCGGCACACGCGUAGGUGGUUUGAACUCUCUGAUUCAAACCGACACCCCUGGAAGCCCCGCCCCCUUCCUCCCGUCUCACGUAAGUAAGGUUUUGACCCGGCGCUCGCUCCUCGACUCGAUUUUCCUGCCAGAAAGAUGUACAGAUGUAGCAGUCCUGAUUUCUGUCAAGGGAAAUGGAGAACGUUCUGGAGUUCAGUGCGAAAUAAAAUCGAUCGAUGGUCGUUUUAGUUAAGGUGAGCACGGUCGCCUCGUACCUCCGGGGUCGACGGUUCGAACCCCGCCUCCGCCCUGUACGCGCCGAGCUUGCAUGUUGUCUCCGUGCUUCGGGGGUUUCCUCCGGUUUCCUCCACCGGUCCAAAGACGUGCGUUGUAGGCUGAUUGGCGUGUCUAAAUUGCGCGUGGUGUGCGAAUGUGCGUGCGGUUGUACCCUGCGAGGGUUUGGCGUCCUGUCCAGGGUGUGUCCCCUGCGACGUCCCUGGGAUGAGCAGUACGGAAAACGGAUAGAUGGAUCUAUGUAUGUUUGAUAGUUAGUAGUUUUUCCGUUAUUAGGCACACACUGAAAUUUCAGCCAUGUGAAAGGACUAUGUUUUUUUUUUGUUUGUUUUUUUUUAAUGUACUGUAUGUUUGGAGUUUUUUUUUGGCUAGCUACUGCAUUUUUACUUUCCCUUUGCCUCCCUCCCCUUUCCCAGGAUUACUCAUUAUUCCCCUUCAAGGUUGGCAGGUCUGUUUACGCUGCCCCGAGCCCCACAUGUCCUCGGUCCUCGGUCCUCAGUUCCACAAGAGCAGCAUUUUGGUUUAUUUCACAGGCUAAGAACCAGAGAUGUUGUGGUGGAGAAGAUCCAUCAGAGAGCAAAACAACUUCCAAAUGUAUCAGAAGGCAGAGCUCGGUAUUUAUUCAGGUCCUCAGAAAGCAAGUGUGAGCGUCUGUGUAAAAUAAUUACCCCUAGAAAGAAAGGAAUGUGUGUCGCUUCGGUACUGAUUCAAGAGAGCGAGAGCGAGAGCGGGGGGAAAGAAUGCAGCGCUCAGGCUCUUUCACCUGAGAGAGAACCAAUACACACAGAAAAUCCCAGUGGUGCUCAUUAGUGAGACGGGAACCAUUCCUACACACACUCACACACACACACACACACGGUGAUAAUAUCAAUGCAUCCUGGUGGUUUUAUUUGAUUUUUAACAGUGCUUUGAUUCAUUUUGCUUGUUAAAUUUCCA